CAGCUAUUGUCUAUGUCAAGAGCCAAAGUGAUGCCAAGGCAGCAGUUAAAGACCUAAAUGGGUGUUCCCUUCAAGGCCACACUGUCCAGUUGGUGCGGCUCUGUGGGCUUGGCUCAGCUGAUCCUAAACUGAUCAGUGAUCAGUCCCACAGCACCUCAGAAACCUAUGAAGCUGAAACCGCAGGGGGUGGACUGGGAGCUAAAGGUGUAACCUACAGUUCAUCACAUGGAAGGAUCGUAGAUGCCCUGCUGGAACUGUGGGCCAAGCAUCAGGGUUUCUUCAGUGGGAUUCCUUUGAGAUCUAUAGUGGAUCUGACCUCCGAGCUUCUCACACAGGCCUCUACCCCAUCAUGUAUUUGAGUUUGUGCUGUUUUAAGCAGUGAUAAAGGUCUUGUAAAUAGUUCCCUGACCAGUAUGACUGGAUUUCAGUUGUCAGUUAAAUUUUUGCAACUCAUUUUUAUGUUAUGUACAGCCAUUUCGUUGUAAUUCUUUAAUCAGAGCAUUUCCUUCUCUUGGAACUGGAGUAAAUUUUGAGUUAAUUUCAGGUUUUUCAGGUUUUCAUCUCUGC
Long non-coding RNA from Cyprinus carpio carpio, 567 nucleotides. NCBI's taxonomy places the organism in Eukaryota, Metazoa, Chordata, Actinopteri, Cypriniformes, Cyprinidae. The record is from Ensembl.